UACGGGGGGAGCAAGCGUUGUUCGGAUUUACUGGGCGUAAAGCGUGCGCAGGCGGUUUUGUAAGCCAGAUGUGAAAUCCCCGGGCUUAACCUGGGAAUGGCAUUUGGGACUGCAAGGCUUGAGUGCGGCAGAGGAGACUGGAAUUCCUGGUGUAGCAGUGAAAUGCGUAGAUAUCAGGAGGAAUACCGAUGGCGAAGGCAGGUCUCUGGGCUGACACUGACGCUCAUGCACGAAAGCGUGGGGAGCAAACAGG
This 253-nucleotide ribosomal RNA is filed under the name uncultured bacterium. RNAcentral's name for it is "partial 16S ribosomal RNA". It matches the Rfam family "Bacterial small subunit ribosomal RNA", at positions 524 to 776 of the family's 1533-position model. The record is from RNAcentral.